AGAGUUUGAUCCUGGCUCAGGAUGAACGCCGGCGGUGUGCCUAAUACAUGCAAGUCGUACGCACUGGCCCAGCUGAUUGAUGGUGCUUGCACCUGAUUGACGAUGGAUUACCAGUGAGUGGCGGACGGGUGAGUAACACGUAGGUAACCUGCCCCGGAGCGGGGGAUAACAUUUGGAAACAGAUGCUAAUACCGCAUAACAACAAAAGCCACAUGGCUUUUGUUUGAAAGAUGGCUUUGGCUAUCACUCUGGGAUGGACCUGCGGUGCAUUAGCUAGUUGGUAAGGUAACGGCUUACCAAGGCGAUGACUGCAUAGCCGAGUUGAGAGACUGAUCGGCCACAAUGGAACUGAGACACGGUCCAUACUCCUACGGGAGGCAGCAGUAGGGAAUCUUCCACAAUGGGCGCAAGCCUGAUGGAGCAACACCGCGUGAGUGAAGAAGGGUUUCGGCUCGUAAAGCUCUGUUGUUGGAGAAGAACGUGCGUGAGAGUAACUGUUCACGCAGUGACGGUAUCCAACCAGAAAGUCACGGCUAACUACGUGCCAGCAGCCGCGGUAAUACGUAGGUGGCAAGCGUUAUCCGGAUUUAUUGGGCGUAAAGCGAGCGCAGGCGGUUGCUUAGGUCUGAUGUGAAAGCCUUCGGCUUAACCGAAGAAGUGCAUCGGAAACCGGGCGACUUGAGUGCAGAAGAGGACAGUGGAACUCCACUGUGUAGCGGUGGAACUGCGUAGACUACUAUGGAAGAACACCAGUGGCGAAGGCGGCUGUCUGGUCUGCAACUGACGCUGAGGCUCGAAAGCAUGGGUAGCGAACAGGAUUAGAUACCCUGGUAGUCCAUGCCGUAAACGAUGAGUGCUAGGUGUUGGAGGGUU
This 873-nucleotide ribosomal RNA is filed under the name uncultured bacterium. Its description in RNAcentral is "bacterial SSU rRNA". It matches the Rfam family "Bacterial small subunit ribosomal RNA", at positions 8 to 832 of the family's 1533-position model. The record is from RNAcentral.